AGAGUUUGAUCAUGGCUCAGAACGAACGCUGGCGGCGUGCUUAACACAUGCAAAGUCGAAACGCGAAAAGUUUUCUUCGGGAAGACGAGUAGAGUGGCGCACGGGUGAGUAACGCGUAAGUAAUCUACCCCGGCAUCUGGAAUAACUCACCGAAAGGUGUGCUAAUACCGGAUACGUUGGUAACAAGAAAGGUGGCCUCUGCAUAUGCUACCGUGCUGGGAUGAGCUUGCGUACCAUUAGCUAGUUGGUAGGGUAAAGGCCUACCAAGGCGACGAUGGUUAGCGGGUCUGAGAGGAUGAUCCGCCACACUGGAACUGGAACACGGACCAGACUCCUACGGGAGGCAGCAGUGAGGAAUAUUGCGCAAUGGGGGCAACCCUGACGCAGCGACGCCGCGUGGAUGAUGAAGGCCUUCGGGUCGUAAAGCUCUGUCAGAGGGGAAGAAAUGUAUGGAUGCUAAUACCAUCUUUACUUGACGGUACCCUCAAAGGAAAGCACCGGCUAACUCCGUGCCAGCCGCCGCGGUAAUA
Molecule: ribosomal RNA, 530 nt
Filed under: bacterium enrichment culture clone Cont9_3130
Lineage: Bacteria
Description: bacterial SSU rRNA
Rfam family: Bacterial small subunit ribosomal RNA
Source: RNAcentral